AGUUUUGCGUUAAACAAGAAAAUCAUGAUAUAUGCAUCAGAAACUUUUCUAAAUAUCUCAACGAGAAUUUGUGAUUCAUGAGAAAAAUUGAUCGCAUAACUAUACAGUAAAUGGGCAUCAAUCAACAAAACAUAUAUCAUACUUUUUAUUUAUUUACUGAGAUAUUGGAUCCAAGAAUUUGGAAAUCAAAUGACUACGCGAGUGAGCAGCGAUAUAUUUGUUCAAUUUCUAUUUCUCACAGACUCACACAUAGAAU
RNAcentral lists this long non-coding RNA (256 nucleotides) under Trifolium pratense (red clover). Its description in RNAcentral is "long non-coding RNA (TPRA_LNC012178)". Lineage: Eukaryota; Viridiplantae; Streptophyta; Magnoliopsida; Fabales; Fabaceae. The record is from RNAcentral.